UAGAAGAGGAAAAUUGAGCAAAACCAGUGUACCACUGAAGACUCCUUUUGUUUCUGCUGGGGUUUGGAGGCAUCUCCAGCAGGCACUUCCAAGAAAGAUUUCAGGCCAUUAAUCAGAAGCGCCUACGUGCAGGGGAAUCCAGUGGAGCAUAAAUCCUGCAGGCGGGCGUUCAAUUUCAGUGAGAGAGGUGACGGUCUACACCAGCCGCAGCACUGCUGAAUUUGGAGCCUGAAUCUAGUCCUGGCUUUGCUUACUACCUGAGUCAUCUCAGGCAAGUCCCUUCACUUUUCUGAGCCUCAAGUUUCCUCAUCUGUAAAAAGGAGGGGGCUGAGCUAGGUGACCGUUGAGGAUCUUUCCAAGCUUGAAAUUCAUGAUCCUGCCAUACUACUGAGUUGUUAUGGCAGCAUGAUGGAUUUCAACUGAUCCAUCCUCACACUUCCAUCAUGAAAGAGAACAAAUAAUUCUGGCCAUUCUAUCAUUAUGUUAUCCCUUCCUGAAAUGCAUAGGGCACCCCCUCUAGCCUCUCUCUUCCUCUUGUC
RNAcentral lists this long non-coding RNA (539 nucleotides) under Vombatus ursinus (common wombat). RNAcentral describes it as "lncRNA (ENSVURG00010008992.1)". The record is from RNAcentral. Lineage: Eukaryota; Metazoa; Chordata; Mammalia; Diprotodontia; Vombatidae.